GUUUUGGUAGCUUAAUUUAAUAAAGCAUCGACCUUGUAAGUCGAAGACCGGAGGUUUAAAACCCCCCCAAAACA
RNAcentral lists this transfer RNA (74 nucleotides) under Megachasma pelagios. RNAcentral describes it as "tRNA-Thr". It matches the Rfam family "tRNA". From Rfam's summary of the family: Transfer RNA (tRNA) molecules are approximately 80 nucleotides in length. Their secondary structure includes four short double-helical elements and three loops (D, anti-codon, and T loops). The record is from RNAcentral. Lineage: Eukaryota; Metazoa; Chordata; Chondrichthyes; Lamniformes; Megachasmidae.